GGCCGGGCUGGGCGGUCGGGCUCGUUCUGGGUCUGCACUGCCGGUCUGGUCUUUCCUUCUGGGGAACGUGCGUGCACUUGACUGGGUGCGCACGCGAUCCAGGACUUUUACUUUGAAAAAAUUAGAGUGUUUAAAGCGGGCGUGUUUUUUUGCUUGAAUACAUUAGCAUGGAAUAAUAGAAUAGGACUUUGGUUCUAUUUUGUUGGUUUCUAGGACCGAAGUA
This 223-nucleotide ribosomal RNA is filed under the name uncultured fungus. RNAcentral's name for it is "partial small subunit ribosomal RNA". The stretch from base 97 to 223 matches the Rfam family "Eukaryotic small subunit ribosomal RNA", at positions 741 to 864 of the family's 1831-position model. Lineage: Eukaryota; Fungi. The record is from RNAcentral.